UACAGAGGGUGCAAACGUUGUUCGGAAUCACUGGGCAUAAAGCGUACGUAGGCGGCGCCGUAAGUGUCGGAUGAAAUCCCACGGCUUACCCGUGGAACGGUCCGGCAUACUGCGGUGCUAGAGGAUGGUAGAGGAGGGCGGAACUCUUGGUGGAGCGGUGAAAUGCGUAGAUAUCAGGAGGAACACCGGUGGCGAAGGCGGGUCUCUGGGCCGAUACUGACGCUGAGGAGCGAAAGCGUGGGGAGCGAACAGG
Molecule: ribosomal RNA, 253 nt
Filed under: uncultured bacterium
Lineage: Bacteria
Description: partial 16S ribosomal RNA
Rfam family: Bacterial small subunit ribosomal RNA
Source: RNAcentral